AGACAGAGAAAGACAAAUACUGUAUGUCCCCCCUUUAUGUGGAAUUUUAAAAAACCAAACUUAUAGAAAUGAAGAGUAGAACGAUGGUUACCAGGGCCCAGGGGGUGGAGGAAAUAGGGAGACGUCAGUCAAAGUAUACAAACUUCCAGUUAGAAGAUGAAUAAGUUCCAGGGAUCUAAUGCACAUCAUAGGGAUUACAGCUAAUAAUAGUGUUUUAUGUACUUGAAAGUUGCUAAGAGAGUAGAUCUUAAAUUUUCUCACCACAAAAAGAAAUGGUAAUUACGUGUAGUGAUGAAGGUGUCAACUAACCCUACUGUGGUAAUCAUUUCAAAAUAUAUACAGGUAUCAAAUCAUCACAUUGUACACCUUAAACUUACACAAUAUUAUAAGUCAAUUAUAUCUCAGUAAGCUGGGGAAAACCCCCCACAUAUCUCCACAAAAGACUUGUACAAAAACAUUUAUAAUGACUUCAUCAUAAUGGCCAAAGCCUGGUAACAAGCCAAAUGUCCCUCAACAACUGAAUGGCUAAAUGAAUUACAGUAUAUUCAUACAAAGGAAUACUACUCAGCAAUAAAAAGAAACACAUUACUGAUACAACAAAGUGGAUGAAUCUCAAAGACAUUAUGUUGCAUCAAGGUAGCUAGAUGAAAAGAGUACACACAGUAUAAUUCCAUUUAUAUGAAGAUCUACAGGUAAAGCUAAGCUACAAUGAUAGAAAUCAGAAGAGCAAUUGCUUCUAGAUGAGGGGUAAUUGAUGGAAGAGGACUGGAGAAAACUUUCUGGGGGAUAAAAAGUGUUCUAUAUAUUAAUAAGGGUGCAUAUAUUUGUCAAGACUCAUUCAACUGUACACUUAGAAUCUGAGCAUUUUAUUGCAUAUAAAAAAUGAAUUUGAAUGCUUUAGACAGGUCAUGCACUUUCUAGGUCCUGGCUAUUUAUAGUGUUGCGAAUAUGUUAGUUGGUUUACACUGGCCCCAAGAAAGACCUAGAAAUCAGGCAGAGGGGUGUGGAAGAGAUUCUUUAGCAGGGAAGGAGAGAGUGGAGAAGAGAGUCACUCAAACGGAAAAGAAAUACAAAUGAAGGAAGAAGUUGAAUAUUCACUUGGCAUUGAGUCUUAUACUGCCUUCGACUAUUUCCCCUUUUCCACAUGUCUUCUCUUUAAGAUGAGAUUUCAAACUCUUCAAAGGUGGUGAUGUGUCUUGUAAGCCCUUGCAUCUCCCAAAGCUAUCUUAUGCAGACAGACAGAGUUCGGUAAACGUCGUAGAAAGAGAGCUGUGAUUUAGAAUAUUUUCCGGUGGAUUUUAUGUGUCUUUCUUGGAAUGGCAGAUGCAAAUUAUGUGAGAACCAAGACUGUUCUAUAUUUCCUAGGGUCUAACACAGUGUCAGGCACAUGGAAUCAUAUAUAUUCAUUGAUAAACUGAAGUGUACACUAGAGAGAAAAAUAAAUGAUCUCCUCUCAAAGCCCUAUGGUUUCUCCCUUUUCCCCAACCCCACAACCAAUCUUCCAGCAGUGGAAAUCUUUAAAUCUGCUUUUUGCUGUUUUACAGCCGUUUGCAUUUAAAUUGGGCGUGUCGCUAUCACAUUUUAUUAGCUAUUCCUCAUACCAGCCCUGUGAGGUUAGCGCUGUUAUCUGCAUUUUACAGGCGAGGGCACUGAGAGGUGAAGCAACUUGCCCGGUUGGAUCACACAAUGAGCAGCUGGCAGAAGUGGGAUUUGCGUGUGCAGGUUCCGCCUCUCCAGCCUGCCACAGAGUUGUGUAGCUUUGAACGUGAUAAUGAAAUGUGGAUUUUUCUAUACUAGACUUGGAAAAUCAGUUUAAAGGCGUUAAUUCCAGAAGAAAGAUUUAGGAUUGUAAUUCUUUGGCUCGAUUAUUUUUCCUGAGUAGAUUUUUUAGCUACUUCACUGGGCUGCCUAGACCCAGGGUCUUUGAAAUGACACACUCAAUCCAGAGAUUCAGGACCAUUAUUUUUUGCUCAAAAACUCCACCUCUCAGAAGUCCCUCUCCCUUCAGCAACCUCCCAGUAGAGCCCACCCAUAUAGCAUAACCUUUAAACAAUAUCUUAAUUGGAGUACAAUAAUUUUAUAAAGUCAGAAGAGGAUUUAGGGCUUAUCUAAUUAAGAAAAAUUGAAUGUGGUUCAUGAACUUCCCUAAAUGUAAAACGCAUGUAAAAUUUGGGUAUGAAUAGAUAUGUUUGUUUUUUUUUUCUGAGAAAGUCAAGCUUUCAGAAAGUUCUCCUUAAAAUGUGUAUGUCUCUAACAGAUUGGGAAAUUGAAGCUCAGCAAGUUUAAGGAACUUGCCUUAAGUGUCACACAGGCAGACAACAACAGUCCUUGAUCCAGAGUCUCAGUCCUCCAUUGAGGCGGCAGGACUCUGUUACCUUGGUUCCUGGAACAUGCAGUUCACUUGAAGAACGGCACCCACAGGCUCUUGAACUCAUAGACUUUGUUCUAAAGAAUUGGUUUUCCCAAAAUGGUAGCCUUCGUCAAGAUAAAACCACUAGUCUGGCCUUUCCUUCAUCUGAAUAAAUUGGCUUUCCUGAAGGACCCUGGGCUGAGGGAGCUCAUGCUUCUCUGUCCUUUUUUUAGCAGCAGAAGGCGAGGUCAGCACUUCCCAGAAUUCCCAGUUCUGAUAACUCAGCCCAACGCGAUUAACAAUAACAUUAUUGCAUCACCCACUAACUCCCUACGUGGCGCUGGAUGAUUCAAUUAGGACAAGUGGUUUUCAACGUUGGCUGCACUUUAGAUUCACCCGGGGUAACUUUUAAAACUCCCCAAGCCCUGGCCAGGGCUCACCCUGAACCAAUUAAACCCAAAUGUGUGGAGGAAGAACUCAAUCAAGAGUAUGUUUUUAAAGGUCCUGAAGUGAUUCCAAUGUGCAACCCAACUUGAAAACCACUAACAGAAGCAAGAGAAAAAAAUUCAUAUUGAUGAGGCACCUAUCGUGUACCGGAUAUUUUACGUAUGCUAGCUCAUUUACUCCUCCCUGACUCGGAGGGGCUGUAUAAAUUUUCUAAAAAUCAUACCGCUGGAAAGUGGCAAAGUCCAACUUUAAACCUGGGUCGUUGUAAUUCCCGAGGCAAGCUUUCAUCACAGGAACAGAUGGUUUCCUGAAAGCUCUCUGUAAAACAUAGUUUUCAUGACGAUUAAAUGAGGUGUCAUCCAUUAAGCACCUGGCACACAGUAGGUGGGCCUGAAUGAUCUCUAUGUCUCCAUUUCUCAGCCUAUUUAUCUAGAAUGUUCCUCCUGGCCCAUGCUAUGACAGGACACCAAGACUUUAGGUCAGGGAGCUUCAUGCUAACCCCAUGGCUAUGCAGUUAUAACGUCUUCUUUAGACACCAACUGUGUUAUAUCAUAAUUUCGUUGUAUGGGGUGUUAGGUUUUAGGGAACUUAAGUUGAUGGAAUACAUAACUGAAAUAUGUCCUUCCUAUUACAUGUAUUUUAUAGAUGCUCUUAGCUUUAUAUAUUUUGAUGUUCUAUAGGCAUUACUUCUCUCUCUUGUCGUUAUGGGAUGGGUUGAUUCUCAAUUUAACUGAUGGGAAAGUUGGCAUUGGUGGCAUUGCCCUGCCAUGCAGUUGAAAUCUGAAGUAACCAGAUCAUCCGUCCAUCCAUCACUGUCUUCAAAGCACUAGAGCAGGCGGCUGUGCCCUAGUAAUUCUGACAGUUUCCCCUGUCUUCUAGUCUAUCUGUGAGGCUCAUGAAUCAUUUAAAAAAUUUUCUUCUGAAUUGGUGGCAUUCAGUUAAAUGGGGCAUGGAUGGGAGCAGCGACUUCAAGACAAGAUGCCUCCUCAGGAUGAGACCAGUGUUGGCGUCUGCCAAGGAGGGGAGGCAGUGGCCUUGUCCAUAAUGCCUCUGUAUACUGAUAGGUACUGAAGGGUUUGACUGAAGCACUAACAGUAGUAAUACUUAAUGAUUAUAGCAGCCACUUAUGCCAAGCAUUGUCUAAGUGCUUUGUGAUAAGUGACAUAGCCAGGAGUCAAACCCAGGCAGUAUUCAAAUCCAGAGUCUGGUUUCUUACACCAGUACUAUACUUUUGGAAGCACUGGUGGGCUGGAUGGACUCUCGCUGAGGGAACGGGAGUCUGUGUCAACCUCAGAGGAGGAGGGAAUGAGACAUGUGGCUGGCCGUGUCCAUGCCCUUAUCCUUCCUCUGUCCCCUAUUCCUCCAAAUCAGUGUUCACCAACCUCCUUCUGAGAGAGAAGGAUGCGCAGGAGUCAGAGAUACCCAUAGGUAAAGGGAAGAGAGAGGAGGGAGCGAACAUCUCUCUCUUCUUCUCACUUUAUUCUCUUAUUUAUCAAGCCCUGCUUUGAGGGCUGCCUAUGUGUCUGACAUGGCUUUCAGUUCUCUGUACAUGUUAACUCAGGGAAAUCAGGUCACUUGCCAAGAUCCACUGCUCUAAGGAGUGGGACUAGGUGUGAACCCAAACCUUAUCAAACUGAUGACAUACAGUGCCAGGCUUCUCACUUUGGGUACUUUCUACUCACUUAAAGGGAUUUUUAACAGAGAUUUUUGGUAGAGCAUAAUAAUUCAAGUAAAACAAAAUUAAUUUCUCAUUGGGGAAUGGAAAGUCGGGGGCAUUAAAACUGGAGGGCUUCUUCCUGAGAAGCCUCACUGUGCAUGUAUGUGUUUCCAUCAGUGCUGGUCUGGGUCCUUGUCUGAAUAUUGCACUAAUUCAUUUGGUCUUUGUCUUCCUGGCAGUACCACCAGAUGCUGUUGCAAAGAAGCUCUGAUAGAUCAAUAUUUUCACAUCAUCAAGCCUUAUUUCACAUUUCCAUAAGAAGCCAAGGCAAUUUCAGUUUGUUAAAGCUGUGUUAUGCCCAGUGGUUUGAGGACUGAGUUGCUAAUGGAAAAAAGAACAAGAGGAAGAAUCUUCUGGAAUGAUCCAUAUGCAGUGCUAAUUCUAAGCAUGAAAAAAUAAUAACUCAUUUUUAUUGAGUGGUCUCCACAUACCAAACUGUGCCACGCACUUUACCUACACGGUUGCAUUUAAUCCUACAGAGGCCUUGCACAUGGGUUUUAAAGUGUUUCAACAGUUGCAGGAUGACACAGUUCUGCUUUUCUAAAGGCUUCCCUCCUUCUGCCACUUUCCUAUCCACUCCGGCUGCAACAGCCAGCAAAUUCAGUCACCCAGCCAAGUGGGUGAGGAAGAAUGAAGAAACCUGAGCCAAGGCUGCGCCCUCCGAGGCAGUGGGAGUGGUGAGAAGGGCAGAGUGCCAAAGGCCUGGGAAACCGGCUUGUUGCUUCUUCAGCCAACCUCAUCUAGGGCUCUCUGGUGUGAGGUUGUGGCUGUGAAUAUCUUAUCAACAGAGACUCUCUCAACUUCAAUACUUCUGGCUCUGCUGUUAUUUUCUAGAGCGUGCAGAACUGGCCCUGGUAUUUCACCUGGCUUGCUUUGGUCUCAGCAGCGCUUCCUAAAUAAAGAAUAUGCGCAUGAUAUAUACUGAGGGGAUGGAUUAGAUUGUUUGGGUUCAAAUUCUGGCUGUGCCACUUACCUGUAAUGUGACCUUGGACCAGUUCCUUAAGCUCUCAAUAUUUCUGCUUCCUCAACUGUAAAAUGGAAAUAAUAACAGUAUACAUUGCAUGGGAUUGUUGAGAAAUAUUAGAUGAGUCAGUAUUUGUCAAGUGCCUAUCACAUGGUAGGUGCUAUAUAAGUAUUUGUUUAAAAAGUAAAUAAGGAUGAGAAAGGCAGAAACAGUCAUAGCUGUCUGGGCCCUAUUUGUUUGAAGUCACAUCUUUCUUGACAUAAACCUGAGACAUCUAAAGCUACAAAGAAAGAUUGAAUUUUUUUGUUGUUCCCUGCUGGCUGCCCCACGUGAUCUCAGUGAUGGGAAAUAAGGAGAACUCACAGGAAUUUAAGAGCCAUGAAACACCUACUGGGUGGCCGGGACUCCCUAUGGACGUAUACAGCAAGCAGCUCAUUUAAAUCUUAUGAGGUAGGGACUGUCACUGCCCUCAUUUACAGAGGAGGAGAUUGAGGCUCAGAGGAGUGAUGUAACUUGACCACAGUCACACGCGGACGAGUGGUGGAGGUGGGAUUCAACCACAGCUCUUAUACCUCGCUACCCUAGGUUGCAGAGUCCUGGAUCUGACCCAGUACCACCAGAACUCCCCUGGGCCGGGUCCCAGGCUUAUUUGGCAUGGGACAGGCAUCCAUUAGAAGAUUUCACAAUGAUUUGCCAUGUGACAGCUCUAAACAGAUGUGAACUCAUCACCAAAGGAAAUUUAUGUUUUGCCAUCUUUUCCCCCACCUCUCCCUGGGGAGCUGCAGGGAAAAGCACUCCAAGCGAAUUAAUCAAAAUGACUAGAGAGAAGCCAUCUAUGAUCUUCAGAGUCUAAAGACUUCCGUUCAAGUCCUCCCGCCACCGUAUUUGACAUGGAAUGUCAGGCUAUCUAUCCUGCUAAUUAUAAAAUCAUCCAUCACCUCGAGUCUAAUAAGACAACAGUUGAAGAGCAAUUGAAAACACAGAGAUUGAGCAAUGGCUGGUUUCCAGAACACAAAAUCGACGCUACGAAACACUUUGCAAGAUGGCAUAUUUCUUUUCUCCCUCAGCCUGGAUUACUUCUUAGUGUUCCUAAUUCUGCUGGCAAGAGUCCUGUUGAAUUCAGGAAAACCAUAUGAAACCCAUCCUGGGCGUUGCCAAAAUAAAUUGUUAAUCAUAUCAGAUGUAGCACCAAAGAGUGUUCCAUCAUAGUCAAUUUUCUGUUUUGUAACUGUCCCCUUGGCUUCAUUCAGGAUCUGCCAAGAGGAAAGGAAGCCCAUAUUGUACAUGCCACAUCUCAUUAUCCACUGGAGGAGAGAGGACGGUGGGGAAUGCUCAUGGGGUCAAGAUGAGGUACAAAAAUCUUACAGAACUGAUCCAAAGUCACGUACUUCACUCUUGGUCAAACCAGGAUACAAACGCAUUUUCGUGACUUCUUUUCCGCAGUUCUGUUCCGAAGACUAGGCAAAUCUUCCAAAAUCAGAAAGGUAAGCCAAUUCCUAUAUGCAGGGAUGUAAUCUGUAAGGUACUUUUUUUUUUUUUGAGGAAGAUUAGCCCUGAACUAACUACUGCCAGU
Non-coding RNA from Equus caballus (horse), 7051 nucleotides. The record is from RefSeq and is a predicted model, not a curated record. Lineage: Eukaryota; Metazoa; Chordata; Mammalia; Perissodactyla; Equidae.